GGUUGUUCUACGAAAAACUAAACAUUAUAAGGAGCGUAGGGAAACCAACAUAGGUGACUAUAAAACCUUGUACAGAUUUUCUGCAGAAAAUGUUACUUGGUUAGCAGAUUACUUUUUAAAUGAUUGUACUGAAACCAGGGGAGGUGCUUUGUCGCCAAAAAUGAAAAUGAAAAUUUUUUUGAGGUGUUUGGCCAAUUCCGGUUUUCAGUCAGGAAUAGCAGAAGAAUUAGGCGUUCAUCAGUCGACAGUAUCAAAAGCUUUAGAAGACUGGCAAAAUGUCAAUCACUUUCCGGGGGUCAUUGGGGUCAUUGAUUGUAUCCAUAUUAGAAUUGAAAAACCAGGUCGUCAUGGGGAUGAAUAUAUCAAUAGAAAAGGAUGGCCCAGUAUCAAUGUACAAGCGACUUGCAACGCCCAAGACGUCACCUUUAUUAGAAGACGUUUCUUAAUUAAAACAAACAAAAAGAGUUGA
Long non-coding RNA from Zophobas morio, 469 nucleotides. RefSeq lists it as uncharacterized. NCBI's taxonomy places the organism in Eukaryota, Metazoa, Arthropoda, Insecta, Coleoptera, Tenebrionidae. The record is from RefSeq and is a predicted model, not a curated record. The transcript has 3 exons.